This 7262-nucleotide long non-coding RNA is filed under the name Gallus gallus (chicken). The record is from RNAcentral. Lineage: Eukaryota; Metazoa; Chordata; Aves; Galliformes; Phasianidae.
GUGUUCACUGAAUUUCUAAGCGGAUUGAGCUUCAGCAAGGAAAUUGGGUAGUGGGCAUAGAAGCUUAGAGUGAAUCAAGUGACUUUUUUUAAUGUUAUCUUGAAUUUGCUGUUGAAUAUUUAAAAUCUUGUCUUAGAGGGAAUUGGGCAAAAACCAGAAUUCUUUCCUUGCUGUCAGAAGAGUUCACCAACUUUUCUGGACAGAAAUGUUAGUUGUUGGAUAAUGAAAAGCAGGAAUGUGUAUUGCAGGACUGUGGCUAAUGAAUUAUUUGAUUCCUCCUCUCUGCAUUGCCUCACAUCCAUUAUAAACAAAAGAGAAAAAGGGAGAAUCCUAAGUGCUGGAUAAUGAGAGCAGACUAGAGAGAAAUGUACCUGGUCUGGGGAGUCGAUAGAGGGAAGUGAACACUCAGCAGAGCUCUAGAAAGGACUGAUGAGCUGAGAACUCAGGAAGGACUGCUGGGCCUGAAGAAUGAUGGCUGACACAAGUACAAGCUCUUCCAAGGAGUUUGAAACUCUUCAUAGGAACUUGUAUCAUAUUUUUGAGUGCUUGGCAGUGCUGCAGCAGGGGUGAUGCAUGAAACCAGAAUGACAGUGUUGUCUUUGGUCAAGAGGCAGGAAAGUUUAAAAUGCUGAGAUGAACUGAAGAAGGAUCUGAAAGAACAUCAGGAAAUGCUUAUAGUACCCAAGAAGAUGCAGCUCAACAGGUAAGUUGCUUUUUCCACUGAACCAGUUCUUCUCAUGUGAUCUGCUCCGUUAGAUAUAGUUGUUCAUCCCCCAUGAUAAGUUCUACUAUGUGAUUUUAAAAUGUUUUUCCACUUUUAUUUUGCCCUUAACACCUUCUGGUUGUUUUCAUUCUCUUGACUGCAGAGUACCACACUUGAAAAUCUGAAAUCAUAUUUCAUAUGAAGAUAUGUUUCUCAUUCUGACUAUACCACAGCACAAGAGACAUCCAAAAAGAAAAAUAAGCUGAAAUGAGAGCAGGAUGACAGUAUACAUAGUUUUCAGUUCACUCAAAAACUGUUGUACACAAACACUCCUACACUGGUCUGAACAAGGCUUUAUUUGCAGACUGAAAACAACAGUAAUUUGAUGUGAGAAAGUAUUUCUACAAAUAUAUAUAAAAAGUACAUGUAGAUGAGAAUAUAAAUAUUACAAAAUAACUUGUCUUUAUCCUUACUGCUUAAUUUAAUCCCUGACAUGUUAGGUAACUGCUGUGCUGUGUUGGUACAGGCCUGCACACGAUUGCUUAUAUUUAUGGAUGUGCAAAUGGAACUGCAAUAGUCUGGAAUGAUAGAUAUUGGUGCUUAAAGUGCUACUCCUGAAAAGUAGGCUUUUUAAUUUUCUGAGCAAGGCUUGAAAAUGUUUCACUGAACUGAAACUGGGCUGUUAGGGCUAAUGGCUUUUUAGAGCUGCAUUUUCUUACAACUUCAUGUUUUAUGGUUCUGUCUGAUUUGAUGCCUUCCCCUAUGGUUAUGAAGACCCCAUGUUUUUACUAAGAAUGUGAAGGUAAGCUGCUUGGUUGUUUUGCUUUGUUUGUGUUAGUCCUACAUAUGUAUACAAUAGAUUUAAAAACUAAAGAGAAUAAUUAAAAUACUAUAGUGUAUUUUAUGUAAUGUAUGACAUGUCCCUAUAAGCUAGAAAAAAUUGUAUUUUAUUUUAUCAGAAGGAAAAAAAAAGUUAGGGGAUGGGUCAAACCAAGCAUUUUAUUUCUCUCCUCCUCAAAUAGAUGAAAUUGGCUGCUGUUAACAAUCUCAUUAAUGCACCAUUAUGUCACUGCAUGUAAAAUCUUGCCCAGCUUUCACUGGGUGAAAUCAUUAUAUGCCCACGAUAUUGAGUUCUGCCACAAUAAAUUAAUCUGCUUCAGUGCUAUUGCACUGCUGGGGCUGAACUAUGUAAGCAAGCAGCUGGUGUUUGCCUCACUUGCAGCAUCAGAAGGGUGAAGAGGAGGUGGCUUUCUGGUGCCAAGAUUCCUACUGAAACAUCAGCUGAGGAUAGGACAGGUCUUUUUGCUGAUUUUCAUACACUACAGCUGGACUUAAUGUGAAUAAAUGUGGGAGGGAAGGAGAAGGUGCUUAUAUUGAGCAGAAUUAAAUAUAAACUUGGAUCUAAAUAAUCUUAUGAGCUCAGCUGAGCUAUGAGUCUCUUCAGUUUUAACUUCAUUUUUGAGUGGACUGAAUAUAUUUCUAUUGUUUAACACUACAGUGUUUUGUAUUAGCUGUUACAAUUUUAUGACUGACUGAUAAAGCAGUUCUUUUAAUAGCAUGAAUCCAAACAGCAGAGUUUUGUUGAAUUCUUCUGAAAUUCUCCUAGGCAGCUUUCCUCAUACCUGCACGGUGAUGAAAAAGAUGACUGUCAGAACUACUGUUUAAAGUUAAGUGUCACGUAUUGACUGUAAGCCCUUGUUACAACCUCUCAGCGCCCCCCAUCUCUUGUGUCCAUGAGCUCAGACAGAUGUGAGCCUGGAGCCCGUUUGAAAAAUCAGCAAAAAGAAACCACUCCCUUUCACUCAAUUUUAAAUGGAGCUACAGACUUUGAGUUCAGACAGUUUCAGGAAAUAGUUAAAGUCCCCAACAGAGCAGAGCAUUAAAAAUGUGAAAAUGCUCUGCCACGUGGAAAGAGCCAAGAAUAAUUAGGUUCCAAACUCCAGCAGCUAUAGCAGACUGUAAUAUUUCAUUUUUUUAUUGCGAUGAUGCAAUUGCAAUUUGAGAUGUCGGUCUUAAGAGUUAACCAAAAUAGUUUAACUCAUUUCCUAACCAGGAAGGUCUAGGGACUUACGUAUGCAGGCAGUAAGAUCAGUUACCUGUUGGCCUGAACUUCUCGAUCAGAGGAACAAAGCUGCUGAGCACGCUCCGAAGUCGAUACACUAUUUGUGAAAACACAUUUUUUUUUUCAAGAUAAGCCAGAUAUAAACAUAAAAUACAAAACACUGAAAAACAGCAAGUCAAGCAAAUGCCAGUUAUACCAUUAAAGAACCUAGGAUUACUGCUUAAAUAAGUGCUUCUGUGCAAUCACUGGUAGCUAAGUAGUGACAAGUGUAAUUCCUCAUAGAACCAUCCACAACCUACCAAACAUAGUAGCACAAACUUAGACUUCUGUUCUCAGUUUAAAAGCCAUGCCUUGCUGCUAGCUCCAUCUUUCCUUUGAGAUCCCAGAGAUGGUCGAGAAUCUUUUUUCUGUGGUUUUUGUUUUUGAUUUUUUUUUUAAAUAUAAAAUCCUUAGUAACUGCCAUCAUCCAGGUUCUGCCGGAAUUUGGUCCUUGGUGUUCAGCAGCCUCAGUCCUGGGGGAACGAAUGGCAGCUCGAGUGCACAGCACCUUAAAGAACAUAUCUGCAAAGACUGCCUCACUGCUAAAAUUAUAUGUUGUCAUGGCAACACAGCAUUCUGCCAUUGCUACAGAAAGAGGUGACUCAGGGUCUUGUGACCAGUGAGAACCACAUCUGCCUACAGUGUCACAGAGGCAUGUUUGUUUUCAGCCACGCUGUGUAACUGUGAAUGAGACAGGAUGGUUCGGUGACAAUUUAAAGAAUCUCAGCAUUAGCCAUUUUCUAGAUUUGUGUAGUUAAGUGACUGCGUGCCCUUGUAUCCAUAGCGUUGGUACAGAACUGGCUGCUGUAGAUACUUACCUAGACCAAAGUAAAUCCCAGUGGUUUCCAGAGAAGCAAAGGUGAUUAAACCAAUUCCAAGAGAAAUUGUCCAAUCUAAGACAACAAAAUAGGUGUUUGGCUUUGUGCACUUCCUGGAGUACAGCAGUUUACCCUUCUGUUGAAGUCUUGCCUUACCUUUGUAGUAGUAGUAGCAAACUAGUAAGGCUCCAAUUGCAAAGCAAAGAAUAACAAAAUGAAAGAAUUCGUCUGAAAUAAAGAGGGGAAAUGAGGUCACAACUGUUGGCACAGUUCCCUUAGGAAUACACAUGAAGUUGUAGUGUGUUACUCGGUGAAUAAAGCGCACUUCCAUGACAGAUGUCUCUCUCAUACACUGAGCUCAACUGCAAAACACACAGCUUGUCAUGUGAGAGGCUUUAAUGGCCUUCGUCAAGAAGGCCCCAUGAACUUCAACAAACUACUCAUGUGGAGAACUUUUUUGACUUAGAAAACUUAUUCUUGGUCUAAUGUUCAAUGGGACUGAUAUCAACUGGAUUAAAAAAAAAAAUUACCAUCCUUGCGUAUGCCCAUCCAUCGUACUGUCCACCAUUGAGGGUGAAUGUUCUUGUUCCCAUAUGCUGUGAGAAAGAGAUGUCUUUUAUUGCCAUGUAACUAUGAAUUUCAGGCAUCUUAACUUUCUUUCCCUUUUUGUAGCUAAAAAUCUGAGAGCAGAAAAUACAUUUCUACAUCUAUAUAUCUAUAUAUACAAUAUAUACAGUAUAUAUAGUGUGUGUAUAUAUAAGUUUGUUCAGAGGAAAAAACAGUGAAUUUUUCAGGGAGAUCAAAUUAGAAGUUUUAAAAUUGCCUCCCAAAUGGUCUGUAACAAUUGUAAAAAUAGCACUAUUGAAUUAACAAUUCCAAAUUGCUUUUAAAGCACUCUAGGUCUUUCUGUUAAGUCUGGGGCAAUCAUGGUCUCAGAACUAAAGCAGUGGUACAAGGGAGCUUCAGUUUGAUUUGUGAUGUCACUUACACAACAGUAUAACAAUCUUCAUUAGUAUCAAUAUAUGAAUAUUGUCAGUCUAUUUAUUUAGGUCUAAUAUAGUAUUUCUGCACCUCCCAAAUGAAGAACUGUAGUAGCUGACAAUGACUCUUAUGGGUAUCUAAUUAUAUUAAUACAGAGGAAGAAGAACAUAAGAACAAGCUUGGUAUUUUUAAAGUUUCAAAUAUAAUUAUUAACGUUAACAUAGCAUGGCACUACUUUAACUCAAAGAUGUUUCUCUGCAUGGUUUUCUAUGUGAAGGUCUGUAGUGACAGAAUUUGUAUGAAUUAACAUUCUGAUCUGUUAUGUGUCUGUUCUGUUACUCUCCCUCCUGAAUGCAAUAGUACUGUGGUAACUUUGCAUCAGAUCAUACUUUGCACAGUAUUUCUCCUAUCAAAGCAUUAUAAUGCAUUUCAAUAAUUAUUCUUAAAGCUUCUACUUUUUACUUACAAAAUACCUAAGCACCAAGAAGCUGGGAUAGCUGCCACUGCUGAGUAAAACUGAAUGCUGAAAGAAUGCAUUCACAAGAAAAACUUGUUUUGCUUGUUAGUAUUUACCAUCUGCAGUUGAAUGUUCUCUUCUGGUUAUUUCUGAAAAGCAACAUAAUUGUAUUAUUUCUGUGAUAAAAACACUUGCAUGUUUUUCCACAUCAGUAGCAGUACUGGCAAGCAGGAUGAAUAUUGUGUACUGGGACUCAGUAUAGGUAAAACAGCACUAGAAACUGCCACAAAUAUGAUGAAAUCAGAAAGAACCCCAAGGUAAGAUAAUGGAAAACACUUAUUUGCAGUGGUCCCAUGUGACUCUGGAAUAGCUGGACAGUAGAUAUUGAUGGUAUCCCUGUUAGUAUUUGGUUGCUAGAAAUGAAGUUGGAACUGGGCUGAGUCAGAAAUGAGCUGUGUCCACAAAUCACAUGAACCUUUCAAAUGCAGUAGACAGGGUGUCCUGUACUAGCUAAAUAUUUUCAGUGACUUGGUCUAGUGUACUGAACUAAUCUAGCAUUGAAGUAACAAAGGCUGCAGAGAGGUGACGCAUCAGGGACAAAAGCCAACUGGAGAAGUGCUGCGUUCCUUUCCUCACCUGGCAAUGGGGGGAGAAUGUUGUACUGCAGUACAGUCCUCUGCUCCUGUGUUCUAUAUAGCUCCUCAGUGAUGGGUAACUCAGAAUUCUCCCCUCAGGAUUAUUCUGCCAUUUACUCUCUCUUCUCAACUCUUUCCUCAGCUGAAGGAGUCUGAGUUACAGCAACUCUUCCCCACUUCAUGGGAAAGAAAUAGUUGAACAGCUGUCCUCUCAGAAGGGCCAGCCUGCUUCGUGCUCUGCUUUGCAUAGCUAAUCAAUGUGGAAUUGACCUGGGACUGAGAUGGAUGAUGUUGAUAAUGUGAUCAAGCCAUUGAAAACUUUCUAUCAUGGUCUUCUUACAUCAGUUCUGCUGCUGCUCACAGUCCCUUAUAAAAGGAAAUAAGCCUUCAGAGUGCAACCGUCUGUUCAAGCUCUCAGUAGGACUGUUUCUGUUGCCUAUCAUUUGGCGUUCAACUAGCAUCUUGUUUUGGAGAAUGCUCUGAGCUAAGUCAGUUAGGCAUUCAGAACGGAGCAUCACCAGCUGGCAGAAACCAGGUUCCCAGGUUGCCCAGUAGUGUUGCUGGGAUUUCCACUAGAAAAGAUGGCAACUGCUGCGAGCUGAUCCUUGUCUCUGGCAGUGCUACCAAAAAAUGGGUAAUUUUGCCCAGGACCAACACCAGACUAAUGAGAACAUAAUGGAUUUACAGUUGGGAAGUUAUUCUAUAUUUAAAAAAAAAUCAAAAAGAAGAAACUAUAUUAACAAAGUUUUCCAUCCUGCAGGAUGAGGUCGUUAUCUGGGAACACCUACCUGAAUCUCCAUAGGGAACAACCUCAGCUGGUAUACCUGAAAUAUUAUGUACAGAGGAUGUUGAUUAAGAUCUACAAUAAAUAUGCAUAUUUUGCUGCCAGCCCUAACCCAUGCCACUGUGCUGAAAUAAGUGUGCUUGUGUGUGCAGGUGGAUACCAACUCCUGCUCUUCAGGAGCUCUGUUGUGGGUUAUGCAGAUCUAAAGGAGAUAUGUGGCGUUAAUUAUCCAUUCAUAUUUCAUAUCAAACAAUAGCUGGAGGCAGGCAGAGUCAGAUUCGUGUGAGAUGAAUUAGAUCUGCUGUUUGUUUAAAUGAGCUGCUUUUAUAUCUGGGGUGGAAUCAAUUUAAGAUAUAUAUUAAAUGAUUAAAGGCCUGAAUUUUCUUUAUUAUUUCUUUUACAUCAAUGAUUCUAUACCAGAAGCAGAUAGCUGUGUUGACACAAUGUCUUUUCUGCACUGCACUUCUUUUCCAGUUUAUCCUCUGGAAAGAAUGGAGGAGCCUUAGGACCAAGAUCCAAAGAGUGGUCCUUGCUGAUGAUCUCUGGUCUGUGCUGAGGGUGGAAAGCAAACCCUGUAUGAUGGAGAUACUCCAUGCUACUGCCCUACACCUCUGCUGGCUAGCUGGAUGCUUACAUGUCUCGAAAUGAAUGAGCAUCAAAUUCUACUACAGCUGGUCCAGAACUGUGGAGCCAGCAUAUUUACAUCGUGCAGGUGGUUUUGGUCAGUUCCAGAAAGGCAGCAUUAUCUGAAGGCUGGAGCACAGCAAUAUAGACAUAAAAAAC